This 158-nucleotide ribosomal RNA is filed under the name Pyricularia oryzae. RNAcentral describes it as "5.8S ribosomal RNA". It matches the Rfam family "5.8S ribosomal RNA". Rfam says of the family: 5.8S ribosomal RNA (5.8S rRNA) is a component of the large subunit of the eukaryotic ribosome. It is transcribed by RNA polymerase I as part of the 45S precursor that also contains 18S and 28S rRNA. Lineage: Eukaryota; Fungi; Ascomycota; Sordariomycetes; Magnaporthales; Pyriculariaceae. The record is from RNAcentral.
AAACUUUCAACAACGGAUCUCUUGGUUCUGGCAUCGAUGAAGAACGCAGCGAAAUGCGAUAAGUAAUGUGAAUUGCAGGAUUCAGUGAAUCAUCGAAUCUUUGAACGCACAUUGCGCCCGCCGGUAUUCCGGCGGGCAUGCCUGUUCGAGCGUCAUUU